UGCUCGCUCACGGCUGAUGGAGAAGAAAGAAUGUCCCGAUUCUCGCUCCUCCGCCUGGAGCCUGAACUGUCCCUCGUGUCUCGCUCUGUCGACUAGGCUGGAGUGCAGUGGCAGCAUGAUCUCAGCUCACUGCAGACUUGUCCUCCCAGGCUCAGGUGAUCCUCCCACAUCAGCCUCCUGAGUUACUGGGACUACGGACGGGCACCACCAUGCACGGCUUACCACUGGUCUUUAUACUAUGCCCUGGAUGCCUCUGGCUUCUGCAGACAUGAUAUUGAGCUGAGGGACAAAGUUUUGGGGAUCCUCAUGCUUACUUGAUCCAGAACUGCUGUCCUUUUAUCUGCUUUACAUACUGGAAUUUUACAGAUUUUGUUAGCAUUUUUGGAAAUUAUUCUCUUUGCCCAAAUAAGU
RNAcentral lists this long non-coding RNA (411 nucleotides) under Homo sapiens (human). Its description in RNAcentral is "HSALNT0038598". Lineage: Eukaryota; Metazoa; Chordata; Mammalia; Primates; Hominidae. The record is from RNAcentral.